RNAcentral lists this ribosomal RNA (446 nucleotides) under uncultured bacterium. RNAcentral's name for it is "bacterial SSU rRNA". It matches the Rfam family "Bacterial small subunit ribosomal RNA", at positions 354 to 796 of the family's 1533-position model. The record is from RNAcentral.
GUGAGGAAUAUUGGUCAAUGGGCGCAAGCCUGAACCAGCCAUCCCGCGUGCAGGAAGACGGCCCUAUGGGUUGUAAACUGCUUUUCUGAAGGAAGAAUAACUCUGAGUUUCUCAGGGGACGACGGUACUUCAGGAAUAAGCAUCGGCUAACUCCGUGCCAGCAGCCGCGGUAAUACGGAGGAUGCAAGCGUUAUCCGGAUUCAUUGGGUUUAAAGGGUGCGUAGGCGGGCUAAUAAGUCAGUGGUGAAAUCUCUCGGCUCAACCGGGAAACUGCCAUUGAUACUGUUAGUCUUGAGUUCGGCUGAGGUAGGCGGAAUGUGUAAUGUAGCGGUGAAAUGCUUAGAUAUUACACAGAACACCAAUUGCGUAGGCAGCUUACUAGACCGACACUGACGCUGAGGCACGAAAGCGUGGGGAGCGAACAGGAUUAGAUACCCUAGUAGUCC